AUUACCCACUCCCGGCACGGGGAGGUAGUGACGAAAAAUAACAAUACGGGACUCUUUUGAGACCCCGUAAUUGGAAUGAGUACACUCUAAAUCCUUUAACGAGGAUCUAUUGGAGGGCAAGUCUGGUGCCAGCAGCCGCGGUAAUUCCAGCUCCAAUAGCGUAUAUUAAAGUUGUUGCGGUUAAAAAGCUCGUAGUUGGAUCUCAGUUCCAGACGGGCGGUCCGCCUAACGGUGGUUACUGCCUGGCCUGAACAGCCAGCCGGUUUCCCUAGAUGAUCUUCACCGGUUGUCUUGGGUGACCGGCACGUUUACUUUGAAAAAAUUAGAGUGCUCAAAGCAGGCGUGUAGCCUGAAUAAUGGUGCAUGGAAUAAUGGAAUAGGACUUCGUUUCUAUUUUGUUGGUUUUCGGAACACGAGGUAAUGAUUAAGAGGGACAGACGGGGGCAUUCGUAUUGCGACGCUAGAGGUGAAAUUCUUGGACCGUCGCAAGACGAACUACUGCGAAA
This 506-nucleotide ribosomal RNA is filed under the name Vacrothele uncata. RNAcentral's name for it is "SSU rRNA". It matches the Rfam family "Eukaryotic small subunit ribosomal RNA", at positions 440 to 950 of the family's 1831-position model. RNAcentral also lists the same sequence under 1 other name. Lineage: Eukaryota; Metazoa; Arthropoda; Arachnida; Araneae; Macrothelidae. The record is from RNAcentral.